Molecule: non-coding RNA, 2075 nt
Organism: Misgurnus anguillicaudatus (oriental weatherfish)
Lineage: Eukaryota; Metazoa; Chordata; Actinopteri; Cypriniformes; Cobitidae
Source: RefSeq, a predicted model, not a curated record
UAACUUUACUCGCGUUGUCAUAGCUGUGGAGCAUCAUGAUUCGUACAAAACUUCAUCUUUAUUUGUCGUCAAACAUGUAACUUAAAAACUGAAGAACCAAUAAUAUAAUCGCUGACAAAGGACUCGGGGAAAAAUCUCGGUAAAAAUUCUCAGAGAAAUAUACAGAUUUAAAGAAAUCAGUUGAAUUUUGAACUGCUCUACGGUCCCACACGUGCAGCAUGAACUAGUCACGAUCACGACACGCGUCGAUCACGUGACACCGGCGUUUUUUAUUAGUUGUAUGGUUACCAUGGAAUUUUAGACCCAACAUAGAACGUCUGCUCGGAGGCUAAAGCGCAGUUUGCAUAGUGUUGGGUCAUUCUAUGGUAAGGAUGGUGAGGCUGGUGAGAAACACAGCAGGAACGGUAGGAAAGGAAACUUUUAAAUCUUAUUAAGCAUUAGGAUAGAAUAGACGAUCCGCUUUUUGGUAAUGUGUGAUAAUGUUAUGUGAUAAAUAAUUAACAUGUUUUGGAGAUUAUUAUGCAUUGUGUAAAUGGACCUAAAAAAGAAGGUGUAAAGGCUAAAUGGUUUUGGAAAACAUAACGCUAACAAAUAAUCAGAAGUAUCGUAGGACAUAUAAAUAUAUCUAAAUACUAUUGGAAAUUACACGUGAAUAGCUUGUUUUAAACAACCCAAAACCUUUCAACAAACCUGCAAAAUAAUAUUUUUAUCAAAACGAGUUCACCUUGAAUUGUCACCGUUGUGCCUUUACAUAUUUUUUUAUAUGAACAGUAAAACGCGGAUCCCAAAAAUCUUACAGUUCGGGGCAUCUGCCUUAACAACGGUGACAUGCAACGAACAGCAGUUCUAGUUUAGAAACGGUUUUUAUUAAAUGUCGUGACUGGUCUGGACGUACACACAGACAGACGUUUAGAAAUGACACUUUGAACUGCCCCAAAACUGCUGAUGUUUCCACUGCCCAUCUACCCUCAUCGGCUGAGGCCUCUCACCAACCACCAACCCCCGGUCAAAGUUUUUUGUUACCGCCCCGCUAAAGAUCCACUGAUUCUAAUAAUCCACUUCGUAUUUUCCCGCUCACAAUCUGUUUCCAAACAGACAAAAAACAAUGUCUUCACAAAACAAAUAGAGGAAAGGGAGGCUGCUAAAGGCAGUUCAACAUUGCAAACAUGGAUUCAAAGCUCCAUCAAGCCAGCAGAUUCAUGUGUUGGAGUGUGGUGUGCCCUAUGCAGCUCAUGGAUUGAGGCACAGUGCGGGCACAGGCUGCGGUUUACCCCAGGUUUUCAGUAGUGAGGUUAGUCGUACGUGCACUGUAAGGUGAGUGGGUCGGGAAAAGGCAUGCAUCUAAUGGUGUUCCCGUUUGCUGUGAUUUCUUCACUGACGUCGUCAUCAUCACCUGAAGCUUGUUGAUCCCCAAUCGGCAGUAGUAAAUAACUCUCUUGUUCCCCUCAGUCUUUGCGAGUCCGUCAUUGAAUGUAGUAGAGGUGCUUCUGAUGCAUUUCGCUUUCUUGUCCUGUCGUGUUAUGUUCCCAGUUUUAUUCACAAAUAUUAGUCUGUGUUAUCUGCUGUCUCGUCCUGGCAGACUUCCAGCCGUCACGCUGCUUCCUUCUUUCCAGUUCUACAAACAGUCAGUUCAUGAACUAGAUUGUCUUCGAUGUGGAGAGAUUGGAUUACUACGAGUCUCAGUCAGUUCUCACCUGCUGCACACAGCUGAGUUGUCUCUCAUUCUCUGGACAUUUACCACCGUCACCAGAGCUCUGUCACUGCCCUUCUCCAGGGAACUGAACAGUUUUUUGCGCUUUCUAGCGCUGUCAUUUAUUACCAUCACUAACUGUGUUUCUCCUCUAUAUCACAGCUCUGGACUGUUGCUGUUGACGUGCUGUCCCUUUUGGGUUGUGCCGUGGUCUGGUUCGCCGUAUAAUUCCACGGAGAUUUAAUUUUCCCCAGCCUUCACCCUGAGCCGUCAUUGCCAGGGAAUAUUCUUCGAGCUCUGUUAUCCCUUCCCCGGAUACCUUAAGUGACUUUGGUGACUGAGAGACUUAUUGUGUGUAUUCAAUAAAUAUCACUCUGCUCUGGAA